GACGAACGCUGGCGGCGUGCUUAACACAUGCAAGUCGAACGGAAAGGCCCUGCUUGCCGGGUACUCGAGUGGCGAACGGGUGAGUAGCACGUGGGUGAUCUGCCCUGCACUUCGGGAUACGCCUGGGAAACUGGGUCUAAUACCGGAUAGGAGCCAUUUUUAGUGUGAUGGUUGGAAAGUUUUUUCGGUGUAGGAUGAGCUCGCGGCCUAUCAGCUUGUUGGUGGGGUAAUGGCCUACCAAGGCGGCGACGGGUAGCCGGCCUGAGAGGGUGGACGGCCACAUUGGGACUGAGAUACGGCCCAGACUCCUACGGGAGGCAGCAGUGGGGAAUAUUGCACAAUGGGCGCAAGCCUGAUGCAGCGACGCCGCGUGGGGGAUGACGGCCUUAGGGUUGAAAACGCCUUUCGCUAGGGACGAAGCUUUUUGUGACGGUACCUAGAGAAGAAGCACCGGCUAACUACGUG
Molecule: ribosomal RNA, 465 nt
Filed under: uncultured bacterium
Lineage: Bacteria
Description: partial 16S ribosomal RNA
Rfam family: Bacterial small subunit ribosomal RNA
Source: RNAcentral